This 589-nucleotide unclassified non-coding RNA is filed under the name Hevea brasiliensis (rubber tree). Lineage: Eukaryota; Viridiplantae; Streptophyta; Magnoliopsida; Malpighiales; Euphorbiaceae. The record is from RNAcentral.
AGCACAAAUGAUCAGCUGAGGCCUGCUUGUGUACCUACUUUAUCGGGAAUUAAAGUGGAAAGUGUUGCUGCUGGACUAUAGCAUACCAUUUGUAUCACCGCCAAUGGCCAUGUAUAUGCCUUUGGUGGGAAUCAGUUUGGACAAUUGGGAACUGGAGCUGACCUGGCUGAGGCACACAGCAAAACCUGUCUUUCUUUUCUGGGGAUAUGAUCUCUUGAACGCCUUGUGUUGAUCAAGUAAUUUCAAAUGACCAAGAAAAAGAAAAAAUGAAAAACCUCUCUCCAUUACUUAGCAAACUGUUAAUUGCAUUGUUUUUCCUAAUUUACUAAUAUUUCAAUGAUUGUAUCUGUCACAUCCUGUGAUAAAGUUGCAUGACAAAGAUGCCUUGAGCUUAUUUAUCUGCAUAUGGAUUUUACUCGUGGCUGUUGUUAAUGUUCAAUUCUUUCAUUUGGUUUAAUGAAAUGCCUGUAUUGGUAAAUUAACUAAAGAUUUAUUUGUAUCUCAGCUCCAGACUCAACCAACGCAAUUGGAUGCUCCAUGUUUGGAAAGUAGGUGUGCAAAAAUUGUUUCUUGUGGGGCUAGACAUAGU